CAGAGUUUGAUCCUGGCUCAGGACGAACGCUGGCGGCGUGCUUAACACAUGCAAGUCGAACGAUGAACCUCUUCGGAGGGGAUUAGUGGCGAACGGGUGAGUAACACGUGGGCAAUCUGCCCUGCACUCUGGGACAAGCCCUGGAAACGGGGUCUAAUACCGGAUACGACCAUCUCGGGCAUCCGAUGGUGGUGGAAAGCUCCGGCGGUGCAGGAUGAGCCCGCGGCCUAUCAGCUUGUUGGUGGGGUGAUGGCCUACCAAGGCGACGACGGGUAGCCGGCCUGAGAGGGCGACCGGCCACACUGGGACUGAGACACGGCCCAGACUCCUACGGGAGGCAGCAGUGGGGAAUAUUGCACAAUGGGCGGAAGCCUGAUGCAGCGACGCCGCGUGAGGGAUGACGGCCUUCGGGUUGUAAACCUCUUUCAGCAGGGAAGAAGCGCGAGUGACGGUACCUGCAGAAGAAGCACCGGCUAACUACGUGCCAGCAGCCGCGGUAAUACGUAGGGUGCGAGCGUUGUCCGGAAUUAUUGGGCGUAAAGAGCUCGUAGGCGGCUUGUCGCGUCGGAUGUGAAAGCCCGGGGCUUAACCCCGGGUCUGCAUUCGAUACGGGCAGGCUAGAGUUCGGUAGGGGAGAUCGGAAUUCCUGGUGUAGCGGUGAAAUGCGCAGAUAUCAGGAGGAACACCGGUGGCGAAGGCGGAUCUCUGGGCCGAUACU
RNAcentral lists this ribosomal RNA (718 nucleotides) under Streptomyces sp. ICN28. Its description in RNAcentral is "bacterial SSU rRNA". It matches the Rfam family "Bacterial small subunit ribosomal RNA", at positions 8 to 741 of the family's 1533-position model. The record is from RNAcentral. Lineage: Bacteria; Bacillati; Actinomycetota; Actinomycetes; Kitasatosporales; Streptomycetaceae.